Molecule: ribosomal RNA, 361 nt
Filed under: uncultured bacterium
Lineage: Bacteria
Description: partial 16S ribosomal RNA
Rfam family: Bacterial small subunit ribosomal RNA
Source: RNAcentral
CCUACGGGGGGCAGCAGUGAGGAAUAUUGGUCAAUGGUCGGGAGACUGAACCAGCCAAGCCGCGUGAGGGAGGAAGGUACAGAGUAUCGUAAACCUCUUUUGUCAGGGAACAAAGGCGGGGACGUGUCCCCGGAUGAGUGUACCUGAAGAAAAAGCAUCGGCUAACUCCGUGCCAGCAGCCGCGGUAAUACGGAGGAUGCGAGCGUUAUCCGGAUUUAUUGGGUUUAAAGGGUGCGCAGGCGGGUCGUUAAGUCAGCGGUGAAAGCCCGGGGCUCAACCCCGGACCCCCGUUGGAACUGGGCAGUAGAGAGUAGGGGAGAGGUAGGGGGAAUGCGGGGGGGAGCGGGGAAAUGCAUAGAGA